CAGGAUUACUAGAAACUUCCAAGCAGGUGUGAUUUGGAGCUGGUUGGAGCUAAACUCUGCAGAGCUGUGGCCCUCUAGGAAUUGAGUUUGAGACCAUUGGUUUAUAGGCACAUAAGCACUUCUAAUCACAUCCUGCUCCAGUGAGACCAACUGCCAUUGAGAUGAAUGGAGAUGCUAACGGCUAACAGCUUCCUUCAGGUUAUUGUACUGGGACUUUAUUUCCCACGAGUUGCACCUGCUGUCGCCUCUGGAGCUCACUGUGGGUUCAGUGCUGAUGGAACGCAGAGCGGACGCAGCCUGACAUCUGAGAACGCUGAGAGCUCACGUCUAAAAGAACACAAGAUUGAAUUCUGAGUAAUUAAUGCAUCCGUUGUCUUCAGUGGAGAGGAGGAGAGGCAGCAGGACGUGAGUGAGAUGAAGCCCUCUGACAGGAUGUUUAUGAGGUGUCAGUUUGCGUUUGGAUCAGAGGAGCUGAUGGGGGCGGAGAGGGAGACGCUUGGCCUGUAUGGAGCUCAACUGCGUGACCCAUUUGCUCUGUUUGGAUCGGUUCAGUGGUGUUGUGACGAGGUGCUCUGGAUGCCGUUCCAAUCCUCGGAUCUGGAUCUCGCUCCCUGACAUGGCAGAGCAUGAGUCAGCUGUCAAGCGCACAAACACGCGUGUUCACCGUCGGCCAUGUGUGCAGCAUGAGGCCAGCGCUGAAGAACCUGAUGCUCACUCAAGAACUGUAUUUCAGUGAUGGUCAUGGUAAACUUUUAGGAAUAUUGCUUAAAGCCACUUCGAGCACUAAACGACCUGUUGUAUCUAAAGUGGCUGCAGUUCAUGGACUUUUCUUUUGUGCUGUUGGCAUAAUACGGGUCUAUUGUGGACACAGACAUACAAUUUGUAUUGUACCCCAAUUUUUGUACCCAACAGUGAGGUCACAUUAGCAAAGUAAGAAGGUCCAUUGUCUGUUAUGAAUAGUGUAGCAAUUCUUAGUUUGGAAGUGACUUACUCAGAGGUCACUUCCAAACGAAACAGUUUUACAUUGUGACAAAUUCACAUGUUUAGAGUUUAAGAUACAUGAAUCCGAUGCGAAAUCUGUGUUGGAAAUUUUUCACCAGUGUGCAGUCACAAUAGCAAACUUUCAGCAACCCAGCUUGAUGAGCACUUUUUUUGCGUUUUAUGAUGUCAUUUUCUAAACAAGUUGGGCUGCAUUGUAUUUAAAAAACUGCACAUCUUUUUUUAAUUAUUUCAAUAAAUCACUUGUUUUUCUAAAGAAACAUUGUUCAACAGCGACA
Long non-coding RNA from Cyprinus carpio carpio, 1277 nucleotides. NCBI's taxonomy places the organism in Eukaryota, Metazoa, Chordata, Actinopteri, Cypriniformes, Cyprinidae. The record is from Ensembl.